CCUACGGGUGGCAGCAGUGGGGAAUAUUGCACAAUGGGGGGAACCCUGAUGCAGCGAAGUCGCGUGAGUGAAGAAGUAUUUCGGUAUGUAAAGCUCUAUCAGCAGGGAAGAAAAUUACGGUACCUGACUAAGAAGCCGCGGCUAACUACGUGCCAGCAGCCGCGGGAAUGCGUCGGGGGCAAGCGUUCUGCAGAUUUACUGGGUGUAAAGGGAGCGUAGAGGGCUGUGCAAGUCUGGAGUGAAAGGCGGGGGCCCAACCCCCGGAGUGCUCUGGAAACUGGAAAGCUGGAGUGCAGGAGAGGUAAGCGGAAUUCCUAGUGUAGCGGUGAAAUGCGUAGAUAUUAGGAGGAACACCAGUGGCGAAGGCGGCUUACUGGACUGCAACUGACGUUGAGGCUCGAAAGCGUGGGGAGCAAACAGGAUUAGAUACCCUGGUAGUC
Molecule: ribosomal RNA, 440 nt
Filed under: uncultured bacterium
Lineage: Bacteria
Description: partial 16S ribosomal RNA
Rfam family: Bacterial small subunit ribosomal RNA
Source: RNAcentral